This is a non-coding RNA of Salmo salar (Atlantic salmon), 55 nucleotides long. The record is from Rfam. Lineage: Eukaryota; Metazoa; Chordata; Actinopteri; Salmoniformes; Salmonidae.
UGCAUUCACUACUGUAAGUCGCUCUGGAUAGGAGCGUCUGCUAAAAUGACUAAAA